AUACGUAGGUGCCAAGCGUUAUACGGAUUUACUGGGCGUAAAGGGCGUGUAGGCGGUCUUGCAAGUCAGAAGUGAAAUUCUUGAGCUCAACUCGGGCGCUGCUUCUGAAACUGCAGGACUUGAGUGCUGGAGGGGAUCGCGGAAUUCCUAGUGGAGCGGUAAAAUGCGCAGAUAUUAGGAAGCACACAGGUGGCGAAGGCGGCUAUCUGGACAGUAACUGACGCUGAGGCGCGAAAGCGUGGGGAGCAAACAGGAUUAGAUACCCUGGUAGUCUACGCCGUAAACGAUGAAUACUAGGUGUAGGGGGUAUCGACUCCCUCUGUGCCGCAGUUAACACAAUAAGUAUUCCGCCUGGGGAGUACGGCCGCAAGGUUGAAACUCAAAUGAAUUGACGGUG
RNAcentral lists this ribosomal RNA (397 nucleotides) under uncultured bacterium. RNAcentral's name for it is "partial 16S ribosomal RNA". It matches the Rfam family "Bacterial small subunit ribosomal RNA", at positions 523 to 918 of the family's 1533-position model. The record is from RNAcentral.